Molecule: ribosomal RNA, 429 nt
Filed under: bacterium
Lineage: Bacteria
Description: partial 16S ribosomal RNA
Rfam family: Bacterial small subunit ribosomal RNA
Source: RNAcentral
UGGGGAAUCUUCCGCAAUGGACGAAAGUCUGACGGAGCAACGCCGCGUGAGUGAUGACGGCCUUCGGGUUGUAAAGCUCUGUUAAUCGGGACGAAUGGUUCUUGUGCGAAUAGUGCAAGGAUUUGACGGUACCGGAAUAGAAAGCCACGGCUAACUACGUGCCAGCAGCCGCGGUAAUACGUAGGUGGCAAGCGUUGUCCGGAAUUAUUGGGCGUAAAGCGCGCGCAGGCGGAUUGGUCAGUCUGUCUUAAAAGUUCGGGGCUUAACCCCGUGAUGGGAUGGAAACUGCCAAUCUAGAGUAUCGGAGAGGAAAAUGGAAUUCCUAGUGUAGCGGUGAAAUGCGUAGAUAUUAGGAAGAACACCAGUGGCGAAGGCGACUUUCUGGACGAAAACUGACGCUGAGGCGCGAAAGCCAGGGGAGCGAACGGG